This 492-nucleotide ribosomal RNA is filed under the name uncultured bacterium. RNAcentral describes it as "partial 16S ribosomal RNA". It matches the Rfam family "Bacterial small subunit ribosomal RNA", at positions 29 to 507 of the family's 1533-position model. The record is from RNAcentral.
AGUGAACGCUGGCGGUAGGCCUAACACAUGCAAGUCGAACGGCAGCACAGUAAGAGCUUGCUCUUACGGGUGGCGAGUGGCGGACGGGUGAGGAAUACAUCGGAAUCUACUUUUUCGUGGGGGAUAACGUAGGGAAACUUACGCUAAUACCGCAUACGACCUACGGGUGAAAGCAGGGGAUCUUCGGACCUUGCGCGAUUGAAUGAGCCGAUGUCGGAUUAGCUAGUUGGCGGGGUAAAGGCCCACCAAGGCGACGAUCCGUAGCUGGUCUGAGAGGAUGAUCAGCCACACUGGAACUGAGACACGGUCCAGACUCCUACGGGAGGCAGCAGUGGGGAAUAUUGGACAAUGGGCGCAAGCCUGAUCCAGCAAUACCGCGUGGGUGAAGAAGGCCUUCGGGUUGUAAAGCCCUUUUGUUGGGAAAGAAAAGCAGCAGGUUAAUACCCCGCUGUUCCGACGGUACCCAAAGAAUAAGCACCGGCUAACUUCGUG